GCUUUAGUAAUUUAAUAAAAAAUAUUGAUCUUGUAAAUCAAAAAUAAAGAAUAUUUCUAAAGUU
RNAcentral lists this transfer RNA (64 nucleotides) under Teslasena femoralis. RNAcentral describes it as "tRNA-Thr". Lineage: Eukaryota; Metazoa; Arthropoda; Insecta; Coleoptera; Elateridae. The record is from RNAcentral.